This 253-nucleotide ribosomal RNA is filed under the name uncultured bacterium. Its description in RNAcentral is "partial 16S ribosomal RNA". It matches the Rfam family "Bacterial small subunit ribosomal RNA", at positions 524 to 776 of the family's 1533-position model. The record is from RNAcentral.
UACGUAGGGGGCAAGCGUUGUCCGGAAUCAUUGGGCGUAAAGAGCGCGUAGGCGGUCCGGUAAGUCCGCUCUGAAAGCCCGGGGCUCAACCCCGGGAGGCGGGCGGAUACUGUCGGGCUAGAGUCCGGAAGAGGCGAGUGGAAUUCCUGGUGUAGCGGUGAAAUGCGCAGAUAUCAGGAGGAACACCGAUGGCGAAGGCGGGUCUCUGGGCCGAUACUGACGCUGAGGAGCGAAAGCGUGGGGAGCGAACAGG